Long non-coding RNA from Centropristis striata (black sea bass), 1024 nucleotides. RefSeq lists it as uncharacterized. NCBI's taxonomy places the organism in Eukaryota, Metazoa, Chordata, Actinopteri, Perciformes, Serranidae. The record is from RefSeq and is a predicted model, not a curated record. The transcript is spliced from 3 exons.
CAUCAUUUACCCAGGCCUGCCAGUGAGGUGGCUCAGGCUGGGCCCUCAGCUGCUCUGUCAAAUUCUGUGUCUGCUUUCUUUAGACCAUGGUCUUAGAGUCAGGGUAUUUCAAGUGCAUCGUCGGGUCGACGAUGAAAAUGGGGGGGAUGGAUUGUAGUGGUAUGAGGCACUGUUAUAUUUUUGGUUUCACCCUGCCCUACUUGGCUCCUCAGCCAAUCACUGUUUACACCGAGAGGAUAAAAGUAGGACAGGUCCCCCCCCUCUGCCCUUUCGCUUCCUGCCUCUUCGGCCCGCCCCCUUCCGGGUCGUUGUCUCUGCUGCGCACCGCAUAGCACAGGUAGGCACACCUUUAGCUCGCCGGUUUUUCACUUAUAAAAGUAUUAUUUAACUAAAACAUAAUCUUGUCGUAGAUCGGCAUUACUGAGGCGGCCGUGGUGAUGCAUUUGGGCCGUUGCCUAGGUUGACCGGAGCAUAGCUGCUGGUCGCAUGGUGUGUGGUGGCAGUCCUCCCCCGCUGCGCCGACCCUCUUCACCCCUCUCCCUCUUUGGUGGGGACGCAAACCGACCGGACUGGAAACCGGUAUCUUGACCGUCACGGCCAAAGUUGGAGGCCGACGGUGAUGGUGGUGGUGGUUCCUCCUGGGUGGUGGUGGUCCCCUGUGUGCGUGUGAUUCCCAUUCAAGAUUAUUUUGUGUGCACUUCACGUUUGCUGUGUGAAUGGGGUGUUCCCCUCUUUUUUGGACGUCACUUCCCUUUUGUUGACCCCUCCUCCAGCCGGUAAGCCUCAGCUCGCAUCCCCUUCUACAGUUGGGCUCGCUUCAUAUUUAUUUCUUUCAUUGUCCCAGACCUUGUGAUUAGUUUUUUUAACAAUAAAGUUUUGUAUGACAUUUUGAACUCCGUCUCCUAACCUCCCUGUCUUGAACGAACCUGUGUCCUUUUACAAUAGUUGAUAAUUGACCUUUCCUACGGGUCCUUGGGCCCUAACCCAAGGUGGCGUUGUCGGUAAUAUAGGAGAAAAAAAUCAU